Molecule: ribosomal RNA, 1435 nt
Filed under: metagenome
Description: bacterial LSU rRNA
Rfam family: Bacterial large subunit ribosomal RNA
Source: RNAcentral
CCUACACGUGUGGAGAGCAUAGGCGCGGAAUGGAAAGCCGCGUGCAAGCGAGGUAGGAGUCCUGAAGGAAAAACCGCAGGGCAAUCCGAAGGCGUGAUGCGGACCGAAAUCUAGUAGGGAAGUAUGUGAGCCAUGCGUCAAGAAAAGCCGCUAUUGUUCUUAUUGUACCCGUACCGUAAACCGACACAGGUGGAUGAGGAGAGAAUCCUAAGGCCGACGGAAGAAGCAUGGUUAAGGAACUCGGCAAAAUGACCCCGUAACUUCGGGAGAAGGGGUGCCACAGAAAUGUGGCCGCAGAGAAUAGGCUCAAGCAACUGUUUAGCAAAAACACAGGUCUAUGCAAAACCGAAAGGUGAGGUAUAUGGGCUGACGCCUGCCCGGUGCUGGAAGGUUAAGAGGAGAGGUUAGCGCAAGCGAAGCUUUGAAUUGAAGCCCCAGUAAACGGCGGCCGUAACUAUAACGGUCCUAAGGUAGCGAAAUUCCUUGUCGGGUAAGUUCCGACCCGCACGAAAGGCGUAAUGAUUUGGGCGCUGUCUCGACAAUGCAUCCGGUGAAAUUGAAGUACCAGUGAAGAUGCUGGUUACCUGCGCCAGGACGGAAAGACCCCAUGGAGCUUUACUCCAGCUUGAUACUGGGAUUCGGUAUUGCAUGUACAGGAUAGGUGGGAGGCUGAGAAUCGGUAACGCCAGUUGCCGAGGAGCCAUUGUUGGGAUACCACCCUUGCAGUACUGGGUUUCUAACCAGCAGCCGUGACCCGGCUGGGGGACAAUGUCAGGUGGGGAGUUUGACUGGGGCGGUCGCCUCCGAAAGGGUAUCGGAGGCGCUCAAAGGUUCCCUCAGAAUGGUUGGAAACCAUUCGAAGAGUGCAAAGGCAGAAGGGAGCUUGACUGCGACACCGACGGGUGGAGCAGGUACGAAAGUAGGACUUAGUGAUCCGGUGGUAUUAAGUGGGAAUGCCAUCGCUCAACGGAUAAAAGCUACCCUGGGAUAACAUGCUUAUCACUCCCAAGAGUUCACAUCGACGGAGUGGUUUGGCACCUCGAUGUCGGCUCAUCGCAUCCUGGGGCUGUAGUAGGUCCCAAGGGUUGGGCUGUUCGCCCAUUAAAGCGGUACGCGAGCUGGGUUCAGAACGUCGUGAGACAGUUCGGUCCCUAUCCGGCGUGGGCGUAGGAUAUCUGAGAGGAGCUGUCCUUAGUACGAGAGGACCGGGAUGGACGGACCGCUGGUGUACCUGUUGCAGUGCCAGCUGCAUGGCAGGGUAGCCAAGUCCGGAAGGGAUAAACGCUGAAGGCAUCUAAGCGUGAAGCCCCCCUCAAGAUGAGAUAUCCCAUUCGAAAGAAGUAAGACCCCUUGAAGACGACGAGGUAGAUAGGGCAGAGGUGGAAGUGCAGUAAUGUAUGGAGCUGACUGUUACUAAUCGGUCGAGGGUUUGAUC